Molecule: long non-coding RNA, 433 nt
Filed under: Capsella rubella
Lineage: Eukaryota; Viridiplantae; Streptophyta; Magnoliopsida; Brassicales; Brassicaceae
Description: long non-coding RNA (CRUB_LNC004915)
Source: RNAcentral
AGAAAUUAGAAUGCCCUUGGGCAGAAAAUGUUUUUUGCCUUUUAUCUAAUUUAUGCUAAAGAAAUUCAAUUUUUUGGGUUUAAAAAAUAUCUUUAUAUAUAAAUUGACAUUUUCACAUUUGAAAAGAAACAAAAAAAUGAAAAAUAGACCUAAAGCUAUUCUCGGACACCUAUUCUAAAGCUAUUCUCGGACAUGAUUUUAUAAUAGUUACAUUCAUUUGUAAACGUAACAUAUAGUUCACCUUAAGGAAAUUCUUUUUUCUUUUUCUUUCUCUUUUUUUUUUUGAAUAAUCAAAGAGGUUCUGUGCCGAAGCCCAUACAUCCCCUCAGGCCCGAAACCAAAGCUUGUUAUAUGGUUUCGUCCCAAGUGCUACUCGAACCGGCGACCUCUAAGCUUUUGCUAGAGAGCUUUACCAAUUGAGCUAUUAGCACUU